Molecule: RNA transcript, 2204 nt
Organism: Erigeron canadensis
Lineage: Eukaryota; Viridiplantae; Streptophyta; Magnoliopsida; Asterales; Asteraceae
Gene name: protein GDAP2 homolog
Exons: 17
Source: RefSeq, a predicted model, not a curated record
CUCUGACAGGUCAUAUUAAACAGAAGGCACAUUAAACACACCGAAUGCACCAAAAAUCUUUGUCAUCAUCUCUUUGUAUCAGAACCAACACAUACAUACAUACAUAGUUCUCUCACCGAUUAAGAGUUAAACGAGAUAAUGUAUAGACCGGUGUCAUCGAGUGAUGGAGUACCGCCUAGUGAUAGUAGUAGUGUAGGCGAAGAUGUUGUUGUGAGUCUUGACCAAGUACCUAAAUGGAUCAAUGACGGAACUUGUUAUGAACAUGACUAUUAUCAAAGUAUGCACUUUCCGGACCCGUCUUUUGAGGGAGAGAGUAGUGGAAAUGGAUCAAUGAUUUCGAGGUUUCCGGUGGAUGAUGAGGUUAACUCCAAGGUUUAUUUGUGGAGAGGAAACCCUUGGAAUCUGGAGGUUGAUGCUGUUGUUAACUCUACCAAUGAGAACAUGGAUGAAGCACACUGCACCCCUGGAUUGCAUUCUGCAGCAGGGCCUGGUCUAGCUGAAGAAUGUGCAACUUUGGGUGGUUGCAGAACAGGGAUGGCAAAAGUUACUAAUGCGUAUUAUUUACCUGCAAGGAAGGUUAUACAUACUGUUGGGCCUAAAUAUGCUGUAAAAUAUCAUACUGCUGCAGAAAAUGCUUUGAGCCACUGCUAUCGUUCUUCUCUAGAACUUCUUGUCGAGAACGGACUUCAGAGCAUUGCUUUUGGCUGUAUAUACACAGAAGCAAAACAGUAUCCACGGGAACCAGCUGCUCAUGUAGCAAUAAGAACCGUCCGCAGGUUUCUUGAGAAACAAAAGGAUAAAAUCACAGGUGUGGUAUUCUGCACAUUUACAGCAAAUGAUACCGAAAUAUAUAAGAGAUUGCUUCCACUGUACUUUCCUCGCGAGAAAAAGGAGGAAAGGAUUGCCGUUACAAAACUUCCUGUUGAUGUUGGGGAUGUAAAUGGUGAGACGAUUAUAGAUGAACGCAAAAUCAGAAUAAAAGCCUUACCCAAUAUGAAAAAAACUAAUCCAAAAGCUCCGCAGACCUCGGUAGAUAUUCCUGUCAGUGAUCGUGGAUUGGCUAGAAGGAACUCUUCAUAUUUGGACUCAUAUCUAGAUCCAGGUUUCAUGUCCCUUAUCAAGGAUCCAGAUCAACGGCGUAAGGAACAGUGGGAAAAAACUGCACAAGCACAAAAUGGGUUUAACUUUGCUAAAAUUCUUGGAUUUGGUGAUCUUGGUAGGCCGCCACUUUCAGCUUCUGAAGAAUACUCACUCCAUUCUAGAUACCUUGCCAAGGCGAACUCUGUCAACCUUUCUGAAAUAUCAGAAAUGAAGAUUGUGUACCGAGGAGGAGUAGAUAGUGAUGGUCGUCCGGUCAUGGUUGUUGUUGGCGCACAUUUUCUUCUUCGUUGUCUCAAUCUUCAGAGAUUUGUACUCUACAUAGUAAAGGAGUUUGAGCCAUUGAUUCAGAAUGCCUAUAGCAUCGUAUACUUCCACUCUGCUGCUUCUUUACAAGUGCAACCAGAUCUUGGAUGGAUGAGGAAAUUACAACAAAUACUUGGCACAAAAAGCCAGCGCAAUCUUCAUGCAAUCUAUGUACUCCACCCAACAUUUGGACUAAAGACUGCAGUCUAUACAAUGCAACUUUUAGUCGAUGGAGUGGUGUGGAAAAAGGUUGUAUAUGUUGAUAGGCUUCUUCAUCUAUUCAAAUACGUUCCUCGUGAGCAACUAACCAUCCCAGACUUUGUUUUUCAGCAUGAUUUGGAAGUGAAUGGAGGGAAGGGUCUUACUGUGGAUACACGGACGAAAUAUGCAUAUAAUCAAACCUAGUGCAUUGGUGUUGGGUGGCACGUGAACCACUCCCGCUCAGCUGCAGCAGGCAUGCCACAUUGACUCCACUGGUGGUGGUGGUGGUGGUGGUGGCGGGGGUGUGGUGGAUACGGCUGGAAAAUCAUUCAAAACAGUUGGGCUAUGAUAAGCCAUAUUAAGUGCAGGUCAUGUAAAGUGUGUUACAGGUACUGUAGUUAGAGGUGACAAAACUUUACCACUUUGGAAACGCUUGGUCGUGCAGUGCAAGUGUUUAGCCCUGUCCUUGUAAUAUCAUGUAUAAUAAUGUAUGCGCAGAAGUAAGGUCUUAGACUCGCAGAAGACAACUGAAAAGUCUCUCGAGGUUUCUGUAUUAAUGUAUCAUACACAACUUUUCAAAUACAAUACAAAUUUACGUA